This 721-nucleotide long non-coding RNA is filed under the name Callithrix jacchus (white-tufted-ear marmoset). Its description in RNAcentral is "lncRNA (ENSCJAG00000062325.2)". Lineage: Eukaryota; Metazoa; Chordata; Mammalia; Primates; Cebidae. The record is from RNAcentral.
CAACGUAUCCUCAAGUGCCAUUCCCUCUGCCUGAAAUAUAUUCACCCUGGAAUAUAUUCUUCACCGGCUAACUCAUUCUGGUCUUAGGUUAAAGGUCUUUUCUCCAGAGAAGCUCUGUCAGUCCCUUUGGGGGAAGGUGGAUUUCUCUGUUUUUUUCUUUCACAGCAUCCUGUAUUGUUCCACUGUAGCCCUUGUCACAGCAGUAUUUAAAUGAUCAUUUGUUAAACUGACUUGCUGAAUACCUGUCUUUCCCACCAGAUUUCAAACUUCAUGAAGGCAAGCCUUCUUUACUCGUGUCUGCUGUUCCAAUGUCCAGCACAACACUUUGCAUGUAGGAGUAUUUUUCUCAAAACCUGUGUCGAUUUGAAGCAAAGUUUCUGGGCUAAAGGGCACAUGAUUUAAAACCUUGAUCUAAGAAGAUAGUACCAAGUUACAUCCUCACCAGUGAUGCAUGAGAGAACUCACUUCCUUACAUCACAGCCAGCACAGGUACUGUCAAAUGUUUUCAUCUUUUCCAGUUUGAUAAUUGAGCAGUUGUACCACAUUUAGUUUAAAUUUGCAUUUCCCUUUUUAUGAACAGAGUUGAGUAUCUUUUUAUAUGGUUAAAAUAUAGUUUCACUUUUUUUUUUUUUUUGGUGAAAUGCUUUAUAGCUUUUGGCCAUCUUACCUUUGAUUAGUAUUUGCACAGUGAUUUGUACAAGUCCUUCACACAUCUAAAGAG